AGCGAACGCUGGCGGCAGGCUUAACACAUGCCAGUCGAGCGGGCAUCUUCGGAUGUCAGCGGCAGACGGGUGAGUAACACGUGGGAACGUACCCUUCGGUUCGGAACAACUCUGGGAAACUGGAGCUAAUACCGGAUACGCCCUUAUGGGGAAAGGUUUACUGCCGAAGGAUCGGCCCGCGUCUGAUUAGCUAGUUGGUGGGGUAACGGCCUACCAAGGCGACGAACAGUAGCUGGUCUGAGAGGAUGAUCAGCCACACUGGGACUGAGCCACGGCACAGACUCCUACGGGAGGAAGGAGUGGGGAAUAUUGGAAAAUGGGCGCAAGGCUGAUCCAGCCAUGACGCGUGAGUGAUGAAGGCAUUAGGGUUGUAAAGCUCUUUUGUCCGGGACGAUAAUGACGGUACCGGAAGAAUAAGCCCCGGCUAACUUCGUG
RNAcentral lists this ribosomal RNA (435 nucleotides) under uncultured bacterium. RNAcentral's name for it is "partial 16S ribosomal RNA". It matches the Rfam family "Bacterial small subunit ribosomal RNA", at positions 29 to 507 of the family's 1533-position model. The record is from RNAcentral.